This 90-nucleotide transfer RNA is filed under the name Biscogniauxia mediterranea. Its description in RNAcentral is "tRNA-Thr". It matches the Rfam family "tRNA". Rfam says of the family: Transfer RNA (tRNA) molecules are approximately 80 nucleotides in length. Their secondary structure includes four short double-helical elements and three loops (D, anti-codon, and T loops). Further hydrogen bonds mediate the characteristic L-shaped molecular structure. tRNAs have two regions of fundamental functional importance: the anti-codon, which is responsible for specific mRNA codon recognition, and the 3' end, to which the tRNAs corresponding amino acid is attached (by aminoacyl-tRNA synthetases). tRNAs cope with the degeneracy of the genetic code in two manners: having more than one tRNA (with a specific anti-codon) for a particular amino acid; and 'wobble' base-pairing, i.e. permitting non-standard base-pairing at the 3rd anti-codon position. Lineage: Eukaryota; Fungi; Ascomycota; Sordariomycetes; Xylariales; Xylariaceae. The record is from RNAcentral.
GCCCGCUUGGCUCAGCGGUAGAGCGCCUCACUAGUACCAAACAGUAACUAGAUCAUGAGGAGGCGACUGGUUCGACUCCAGUAGUGGGCA